Molecule: long non-coding RNA, 446 nt
Filed under: Ricinus communis (castor bean)
Lineage: Eukaryota; Viridiplantae; Streptophyta; Magnoliopsida; Malpighiales; Euphorbiaceae
Description: long non-coding RNA (RCOM_LNC001760)
Source: RNAcentral
UGAUUACAGAGUUUUGUAUUUUAAUUUCUCUUCCUUACAAAGUGAAUCAGUAAUUUUUAGCCACUAAGAUUUGGGCACUGGGGAUUGAGGGGGUGGGGGGAAGAUGACAAAGGGACGGUAAUGUUAUCUGCUAAUGUCAUUGACCCAUCUAUUUUGUAAGGUUGAUGCUGGUGAAGCCGAAGCUUGCCUUACAGAAGCAGCUUUUCAUGAUAUUGUUACGGGAAAUGGUAAUUGAAAAAGGCAGAGGUUACCUUCAAUGAGCUACGGGGUCAUUUAUGAUUGAUAUGCAAUUCUAUUUUCAGGAAUAUUAUGUGGUCUCGCAUCCCAAUAGCUAGCAAUCAAGUGUCUCGCCGGAUAGGUGCUGUAACUAAUUUUCAAUUCUUUUUGUGUUUGAUAUGUAAUUUUAACUAUCAAAUAAAUAAUCCGAUUUAAUUACUCAAUCGGCC